Molecule: ribosomal RNA, 165 nt
Filed under: uncultured bacterium
Lineage: Bacteria
Description: partial 16S ribosomal RNA
Rfam family: Bacterial small subunit ribosomal RNA
Source: RNAcentral
UGGGGAAUAUUGGACAAUGGGCGAAAGCCUGAUCCAGCCAUGCCGCGUGUGUGAAGAAGGUCUUCGGAUUGUAAAGCACUUUAAGUUGGGAGGAAGGGCAGUAAGCUAGUACCUUGCUGUUUUUGACGUUACCGACAGAAUAAGCACCGGCUAACUCUGUGCCAG